UGGAAACUGGAAAACUAGAGGGCAAAAGAGGUAAGUGGAAUUCCUAGUGUAACGGUGAAAUGCGUUAAUAUUAGGAGGAACACCCGUGGCGAAGGCGGCUAACUGGACUGUAACUGAGGUUGAGGCUCGAUAGCGUGAGGAGAAUACAGGAUUAGAUACCCUGGUAAUCCAAGCUGUAACCGAUGAAUGCUAUUGGUUGGGAAACAAAGCUCUUCGGUGCCGUCGGUGACGGAGUAAGCAUUCCACCCGGGGAGACAUUCGCAAACAUGAAACUGAAAGAAUUGACGGAGACCCGCACAAGGGGUGGAGCUUGUGGCUUAGUUCGAAGCACGCCGAAACCUUACCAAGGCGUGGCAUCCCAUGACCGGCCGUUUAUCCUUCUCUUUCUUCAGAACGCGGGUGAAGGGCGGGGCAUGCUAGCCAUCCACUAGAUUCAUGGAUAUGUUUGCUUUAUAUCCCCCAACAAACGCACC
This 473-nucleotide ribosomal RNA is filed under the name uncultured bacterium. RNAcentral describes it as "bacterial SSU rRNA". It matches the Rfam family "Bacterial small subunit ribosomal RNA", at positions 627 to 1102 of the family's 1533-position model. The record is from RNAcentral.